AUAACGGUCCUAAGGUAGCGAAAUUCCUUGUCAGGUAAGUUCUGACCCGCACGAAUGGUGUAACGAUUUGGGCACUGUCUCAACAACCUACCCGGCGAAAUUGUAGUACCGGUGAAGAUGCCGGUUACCCGCGACUAGACGGAAAGACCCCAUGGAGCUUCACUGUAGCUUAAUAUUGAAUUUUGGUAUUUCAUGUACAGGAUAGGUGGGAGACUGGGAAAUACAGGCGUCAGCUUGUAUGGAGUCACUGUUGGGAUACCACUCUUGAGGUGCUGAAAUUCUAACCUGCGUCUUUGAAUCAAGACGGGGGACAUUGUUAGGUGGGCAGUUUGACUGGGGCGGUCGCCUCCAAAAGAGUAACGGAGGCGCUCAAAGGUUCGCUCAGCAUGGUCGGAAACCAUGCCUUAGAGUGUAAACGCAAAAGCGAGCCUAACUGCGAGGCUGACGGGCCGAGCAGUAACGAAAGUUGGAGUUAGUGAUCCGGCGGUAUGUGAAUGGAAAUGCCGUCGCUCAACGGAUAAAAGCUACCCUGGGGAUAACAGGCUGAUCUCCCCCAAGAGUCCACAUCGACGGGGAGGUUUGGCACCUCGAUGUCGGCUCAUCGCAUCCUGGGGCUGUAUUCGGUCCCAAGGGUUUGGCUGUUCGCCAAUUAAAGCGGUACGCGAGCUGGGUUCAGAACGUCGUGAGACAGUUCGGUCCCUAUCUGUCGUGGGCGUAGGAUAUUUGAAGAGCGCUGUCCCUAGUACGAGAGGACCGGGAUGGACGCACCGCUGGCGCAUCGGUUGUCAUGCCAAUGGCACGGCCGAGCAACUAUGUGCGGUUUGGAUAAACGCUGAAAGCAUCUAAGCGUGAAGCCAUCUCUAAGAUAAGAUAUCCCAUAGCAUAAGCUAGUAAGACCCCUCAAAGACUAUGAGGUUGAUAGGCUGCGUGUGUAAGUACGGCGACGUAUUUAGCUUGGCAGUACUAAUAGGUCGAGGGCUUGACCUU
Molecule: ribosomal RNA, 987 nt
Filed under: human gut metagenome
Description: bacterial LSU rRNA
Rfam family: Bacterial large subunit ribosomal RNA
Source: RNAcentral